Long non-coding RNA from Myotis brandtii (Brandt's bat), 236 nucleotides. RefSeq lists it as uncharacterized. The record is from RefSeq and is a predicted model, not a curated record. The transcript is spliced from 3 exons. Lineage: Eukaryota; Metazoa; Chordata; Mammalia; Chiroptera; Vespertilionidae.
GUAGACGUACCACAGUUUUUAACCCACUCAUCUGCUGGUGGGCACGUAGGCUGAUUCCGGAUUUGUCUUUUUUAGGAAAUCGAAGUUGGUGGCGGUCGGAAAGCUAUUAUCAUCUUCGUCCCAGUUCCUCAACUCAAGUCUUUCCAGAAAAUCCAGGUCCGGCUGGUACGCGAGCUGGAGAAGAAGUUCAGUGGGAAGCACGUGGUCUUCAUCGCUCAGAGGAGGAUUCUGCUCAU